AUGGAUUUACUAAUGUCUUUUGUUGUUGUUGUUUUGAUUUGGCUUGGUGGUUGUUUUUGUUUAUUUGUUUAUUUGUUUUUCAGAAGAAUGAAAGCUGGAAAAAAGCCAAAAAAAGGUUGUAAUAGAGAGGGGUGCGAGAGUGUGUGGUGCUUUCCUAACGAUGCUGGGUACCCUACCUUACUUUCUGACUCAGUACAAUGAAGACAUUACAAGCAGUAAUCUAGGUAUUUGCAGCAGGAACACUCUCCCCAGCCAAUUUACCAUACAGCCCCACAGAUGUGCAACGCCCAAAGCAAAGAAGGAACUGAGAGGAUUGGGGUAGGAUGAGUUACAGCUGCAUACAUCCCUUCCAGUGGUAGCAUCACCAGGUGUCCAGCUGCAGCCUGACUGUGGUACCCAUAUGACUUGAGUAUCUUCCAUGCACCACCUCUCUAGCAAAAACAAGCUACAGUGGUAAAACUGUGAUUAUCAUGAAAGAAUGGUAAGUGUUUGCUUGUAAAAAAAUCAAAUAAUUUACUGCCUUGCAGUCUUCUGGUGGACUCUUAUUUCUCUAUUUUUAACUCUAAAGUCCUCUUAUAUCAGUCCCUUCUCAGUAAAGCAUUUGUUCAUGCGCUGCACCUUUUUAAUGAGGCUGAAUAAAGCUAAUCUUUUAACUUUUACA
Molecule: long non-coding RNA, 661 nt
Filed under: Anas platyrhynchos platyrhynchos (common mallard)
Lineage: Eukaryota; Metazoa; Chordata; Aves; Anseriformes; Anatidae
Description: lncRNA (ENSAPLG00000030915.1)
Source: RNAcentral